AUUUGGGGCAAUUAAUUUGAUGGAUUGCAAAUCAGCUCCCGACUUCCUCGUGCUCCUCCCUGGGACUGAGCAGCGGGACUGAGAGUGCCUUCCUGUCCCCUGGCACCUGUGUCACCUGCUGGUGGCCUCAACUUGGUUCAAAUUUGAGCACACAGUAGGUGCUUUCUGAAAGCCUUGAGUAUCUGAUGAGAGCCUUUCUAGAAAGCUGUUAGCUGAGGAACUCCCAGUGGCCACACCAUUCAUAGGUACAACUGAACCUCUGCCACGAGCUAAUCUGCUCAAGGUCACUCAUGUCACUGGUGACAGCUGGGACUGCAGCCAGGUUUUCUACACUGCACUUGCCUAGUGUGCUCAAAGGAAAGGCGAUGCACGAGGCACACGGCGAAGGACUCCUGUGGGUUGUCCUGAUCACCCCGUGCCUUGGGUCGGAGGUUCCUGUCAGCGUCGUCCCCUGGUGGUUUCGAAGCCUCCUACAAGGGUGUUAAGGGUCACUUUGCUGUGCUCCCGUGCCGUGCUCCCCUGGGCACUGCAAUGGUGCUCAGAACUGACUUGCUUUGUAGGACACCUUUGUAGUUGUGCUUCUCCUUCUCCUGGCUUAAUCUUGUGUGUUAAGGUUUUGGCCUUCCCACACAUCUGUAAGUACGAAGGGUUUUACAGAAAGCCGUGUGUAAAGCAAUCUCAGUGUAAGGACAUACCAGGUGUCUAGGGGUGGCUAGCUUAUUCAGUGCUCCUGCUGUGUGGCAGCUUUGGGCGGGUUUUUUAUGAUAGACUAGGCUUCUACCCUAGGAACCCAUUCUUCUUAGAAUCAAUUUCUCUCCCCCCCUACCCCCUACUAGAGUCUCAUUAUGUAACUAACCCUGGCUGGCUAGGAACUUGUCUAUAUAGACCAUGUUAGUUUCAAACUCACAGAAAUCUGCCUGUCUCUCCUCUCCUUUUUUAAGUACUAGGAUUAAAGGUGUACACCACUCAUCCAACUAGAAUUAAUUUUGGCUAACAUAUAAAUAAGUAGGUUCGGUUGUUGCUUUGGUGCGGGGGGAGGGGGGAAAUUUUUUGUGUAUCUCAGCCUUAACCUUCAGCUUCUUUCUACCUCCUCAAUGUAGGGUUACAAGUGCAUACCAACACAGCAGUUUAUGUGGUGCUAGGACUCAAACCCAGGGUAUAUGACUGGGCAAGCCACCAUAACACUUUCAUGUAAAUAGGUCCUUAUACUUUGUGUCCCUGCCCCUCCCUGAGUUUCAGUUUCCAUUUGUAAUCAGCUGAUUGAGCAUUAUUGAUUUCCUGAGGCUGCCAGGCAUUGUUGCAGAGGCCAGGCUGGACUGUGUACAUAAGCCACAAACUCUCUGCUCCUUGAACAUACUUUGCAGUGGACAGAAAGAUGUACCUUUGGAGGACUGCAAAUGUGUGAGGCAUCUGAGUUGAGAUCUCAUCAAGGUAUGUGACAUCUAGGCAGAAGGUCCCCUGAGGCGAGAACAGCAAGUUCAGAAGCCAGGGGUCUGGAGUGGGCCUGGCUUGUCCGGAGGAGCAGAAGGAGGUCAGGCUGGGCUGAGAGUGCAGGAGGUGUGGGGGUGAGGGAUUUGGCCUUCGCCCAGGGUUGGGGUUUGGGGGAGCUAUCCUAGGCUUUUGGACAGAGGAAUGUCAUUUGCUUUAGAAGGCUGAUUUGCUGGUUGUGUGUGGGAUAAACAGACCGCCCCAAGCCCAUGUAGGUAGUGUGUUUAAUACAGUACCCAGCAUGGAAUGCACCUCCAUCUUGGACUCGGGUUCUUCACAAGAACUCUAUCAUCAAAAUUGGCCUGGGUGACUGCUGCUGUCAGCCCGUUGUCUUCUGCCUCCUGUGACGACAGCAUUGGGAUGUCCUUUCCCUGAGGAGGAACCAGUGGGACCUAGGCUUGGGAGUGACAAGAGAACUGACAACUCAUUCUUUGGCUAUUCUUUGCCCAGUUGGCCCUGUAGUUGUGGUGGUGUUCGAAUGGAGUCAUGGAAAGGGUGCUUGCUUCUACAGACCUGGCAGAUCCGACUCUGACCAUGUAGCGCAGACCACCCAAGUAAUGCCAAGUUGGCUGCCCAUGGAGCUUCUGUAUCUAAAGCUCUUCUCCCCAUUCUGGUUGCCCAUGAUUUUGAGAGAGGCUAGAACUGGGCCUCUGCACCUUCUUCCCCCUCUUUGCCUUUCUCUCUACAACCUCAGGCCUUUAUGGAAAGACCUCAGGUGUCCUUUGACUCCUGGUUGUCGCUUAUCAGGUGGAGACACCUUUGGCAGCAGAACUGGUAUUCACCUCCGCUGGGUCUCUUUGGAUGGCAGGAAGCAUUCUCUAUUUGUUAGUGUCCCAGUAUCAUUGGCAGGAAAUUCCACUUUGGCUCUGAGAUCAUCAUUGCCUUUAGUUAUUUUUUGAAGGUGUGUUUCACCACAUCCAGGCACUUUUUGGGUUUUAAUUAAUUAGUUAACUAAUUAAUUUUAUGUAUCUUGUCUGCAUGUAUGUCUAUAUACCAUGUACAUGCACAACUUGCAGAGGUCAGAAGAGGGCGUGGACUGGGAUUGCCAUUAUAACUGUUAGCAGUGGGGAAUAGGUCCUUUGGAAGAGCAGUCAGAGCUCUUAACCACUGAGCAAUCCCACCGCAUCCCCUGCUUUUAGAUCUGAAACAGCCGCUCAUCAUCUUCUCCUACCCAUUUAUUUAACCCCGCCUCCUUUAGGGAAGAGUUUCCCAAGAGCCUUUGUUUAGUUCUUGCUGUUACUUGGAGUAAUCCCCUAGGUGGGAGGCAUCUUCUCGGGGUACAGAAGGCUCCAAAGAGGUCUUAGAACCAGGAGGCGAUAACACAUCUUUCAAUGAUGCAGAAUCCUGCAGUUCAAGGUGGUUGCCCAUCACUGGACAGUUGAGCUUAGACUUGUGCCUAUGUGUGGUGUAGGGACAGAAAGGGUGAGGCUGUGAACUAACAGGUGGCCCAGAGCACACAGGCUCCCUCUUCAGCCCUGUGUGUCUGAGGUCAGCAGGCUGCCUGGGCUGCAGGUUUUAGAGCUCGUUUGUUUGGGCCCAGCUACCAUGAGUUUCCCCCAUAAAGAGCUCCGUUUGGGUUUGCACAUCCCACCCUCCACCCCAUCUUUCCUGCCUACUCUGGAUGGGGUUACUGAUUAAGUUUGUCCUGGGAGCCUGUGCACAUAGAGCGGUGUGUUGGAUGUGGACACUCUAUUUCUGGGCCCAGUGAGGUGUAAGCAGAGCUCCGGGCCCUUGCAUCUGGAGCUCCCUCUUCCUGGGUUCUGUGGUCCUGGCUGGCUGGUCUUCUGCUGGUCAGUCGCUUGGACACACAAGCCUGUCUCUGCCCUGCAGGUUGUUUGAUUUAGGCAGAGAGUCUGCAAUGAUAGGAACCUGGACUUGAGCCCUUGACCAAACAUUCCAAAUUCUUUGGACAUAAAGAUUUUCUGAAGGGGCUUGGGGCCCUUCCAAGGCUUCCCAGUUUCUGUUUAUACCCCAUGCAGAUUUGGGUUUGGAACGGAUUUUCCCGUAUUCCCUAGAGCCCUUUCCCAGUCUCCCGAGGGACCUGGUUAGGUCGUUGGGACUCUUUUUUAACCCAGCCUCACCCACUGGCUCAUGGAGCAUCCUCCUGGCAGCCCCUGCCCUUCCCCAGUGCCAUGAUGGUGAAAGGCUGAGGGUGGAGUGGGGCCUUUUGUUUUGUUUUUAAAUAAGGGCAACGUGGGUAAACAGAGCAGCGUUUCUGGUGCCGUCAGAGAGGGCCAGGACCCCACAUUCCGGCUCCAUGACAACAGGCUGUGGGCAGCGGCCGUUGAGAUGGACAAUGGUGGCUCUGUUGAAAGGCUGAGGCUGGGCUCUGAACGAGUGCAUUUUAAUUGAGCACUUUCCACCCUGAGAUCUGUGGGGAUCUGGUGGCCCACGCCUCGCCCAGUCAUUUUGUCUUUGCAGCUUCAGAACCAAGUUAUUGCAGCCCCUUGUUCCCUUUUCAGCCUGGGCUGGUUUGUUCCACAAUGGUGGUUUCAGUGGAUCUCAUUGACCCCUCUGCAGAAGGAGAACUCCUUUUUGUUAAAGGCCCACUGCGUGCCGAGCACAUGAAACUUUCGUCUGAUGAAGGCCUGCGUAUUCAGUUCUCUCAUUUAGAGACUUGUUGAUUUUUCUUCCUCAUUGUCCUAGGCGGCUCAAACCAACUAAGAACACGCGUGUCUCGAAGAACAGCCUUUCCCACGGUCAAGCUCAGCAUGCCUUCUGCCAGACAUGUCCCCUUACCACCAUCUCCAUGGGAUUCAUCUGUACAAAAGCACACUUGCCACUAGUCUGUGAAAUUAAACCUUUGCAUCCUGUCUGCA
Molecule: long non-coding RNA, 4307 nt
Organism: Mus musculus (house mouse)
Lineage: Eukaryota; Metazoa; Chordata; Mammalia; Rodentia; Muridae
Product: predicted gene 44867
Exons: 3
Source: RefSeq, a predicted model, not a curated record